RNAcentral lists this ribosomal RNA (737 nucleotides) under uncultured bacterium. RNAcentral describes it as "bacterial SSU rRNA". It matches the Rfam family "Bacterial small subunit ribosomal RNA", at positions 71 to 803 of the family's 1533-position model. The record is from RNAcentral.
UUUAAGGGCUUGCUCUUAAAUUUAGUGGCGAACGGGUGAGUAAUAUAUCGGAACGUAUCCAAUAAUGGGGGAUAACUAAUCGAAAGGUUGGCUAAUACCGCAUACGCCCCGAGGGGGAAAGCUGGGGAUCUACGGACCUAGCGUUAAUGGAGCGGCCGAUAUCUGAUUAGCUAGUUGGUGGGGUAAAGGCCCACCAAGGCGACGAUCAGUAGCUGGUCUGAGAGGACGACCAGCCACACUGGAACUGAGACACGGUCCAGACUCCUACGGGAGGCAGCAGUGGGGAAUUUUGGACAAUGGGCGCAAGCCUGAUCCAGCCAUUCCGCGUGAGUGAAGAAGGCCUUCGGGUUGUAAAGCUCUUUCGCAAGGGAAGAAACGAUUUAGGUGAAUAAUCUAAGUUAAUGACGGUACCUUGAUAAGAAGCACCGGCUAACUACGUGCCAGCAGCCGCGGUAAUACGUAUGGUGCGAGCGUUAAUCGGAAUUACUGGGCGUAAAGCGUGCGCAGGCUGUUUUGUAAGUCAGAUGUGAAAUCCCCGAGCUCAACUUGGGAACUGCGUUUGAAACUACAAGACUAGAAUAGGUCAGAGGGGGGGUAGAAUUCCACGUGUAGCAGUGAAAUGCGUAGAGAUGUGGAGGAAUAUCAAUGGCGAAGGCAGCCCCCUGGGAUCAUAUUGACGCUCAUGCACGAAAGCGUGGGGAGCAUACAGGAUUAGAUACCCUGGUAGUCCACGCCCU